UGGGAAUCUACCUAGUUCUACGGAACAACAGUUGGAAACGACUGCUAAUACCGUAUACGCACUACGGGGGAAAGAUUUAUCGGAAUUAGAUGAGCCCGCGUAAGAUUAGCUAGUUGGUGGGGUAAUGGCCUACCAAGGCGACGAUCUUUAGCUGGUCUGAGAGGAUGAUCAGCCACACUGGGACUGAGACACGGCCCAGACUCCUACGGGAGCAG
This 215-nucleotide ribosomal RNA is filed under the name uncultured bacterium. Its description in RNAcentral is "partial 16S ribosomal RNA". It matches the Rfam family "Bacterial small subunit ribosomal RNA", at positions 118 to 347 of the family's 1533-position model. The record is from RNAcentral.